UGGCCGGAUUCUCGGGAGCGAGGUAUGGAGUUCCUACUGUACUAUACAGAAGGUAGGAACUUCAUACCGUGCUCUUGAUGGACCCAC
Molecule: microRNA precursor, 87 nt
Filed under: Strigamia maritima
Lineage: Eukaryota; Metazoa; Arthropoda; Chilopoda; Geophilomorpha; Linotaeniidae
Description: mir-276 microRNA precursor family
Rfam family: mir-276 microRNA precursor family
Source: Rfam by way of RNAcentral